AAGUCGUAACAAGGUUUCCGUAGGUGAACCUGCGGAAGGAUCAUUAACACUUAUUAUUAUCCAAUAUCAAAAAUAAAACCAAACGGCAUCUUUUCUUCUCCCUAUUUCGACUACCGGAGACGGGUCGAUUAGGCUAACCUUUUUUUUUAAAAACUUUAACCCCAUUUAAUUUAUGUCUAUUUAAUAUAUAGAUAUAAACAAAACCAACUCUUCUUUUGUUCAAGUGCGGUUUUACAUCACACAAACAACAAUAAGAACUAAACUAAAAUAUACAUUUGAUUAUAUUUUUAUUUUACGAAAUAAUAUAUAUUUAUAAGAACAACUCUUAGCAAUGGAUAUCUUGGUUCUC
This 349-nucleotide unclassified non-coding RNA is filed under the name fungal sp. RNAcentral describes it as "partial internal transcribed spacer region". The stretch from base 1 to 46 matches the Rfam family "Eukaryotic small subunit ribosomal RNA", at positions 1786 to 1831 of the family's 1831-position model. The record is from RNAcentral. Lineage: Eukaryota; Fungi.